UACGCCCGAUCUCGUCCGAUCUCGGAAGCUAAGCACGGUCGGGCCUGGUUAGUACUUGGAUCGGAGACCGCCUGGGAAUACUAGGUGCUGUAAGCCU
RNAcentral lists this ribosomal RNA (97 nucleotides) under Mugil cephalus (flathead mullet). The record is from RNAcentral. Lineage: Eukaryota; Metazoa; Chordata; Actinopteri; Mugiliformes; Mugilidae.